Cornus florida is the source of this 7271-nucleotide RNA transcript. RefSeq lists it as uncharacterized. Lineage: Eukaryota; Viridiplantae; Streptophyta; Magnoliopsida; Cornales; Cornaceae. The record is from RefSeq and is a predicted model, not a curated record. The transcript has 7 exons.
UAAGCUCUUAUCACAUCUUCCUCGCUCACCAGUAACAACACAAAUACAGUGAGGGACUUGCAGACACGUGAAUGCCACGUGCGUCGCUUCCAUCGCAUGUAGCUUUCCAAUUACAACUUUCGAGACAGAAAAUGAGCUCGUCCCUCGAAAUCCAUUGUCUCGCAGCUGAAACUCUGGGAUCAGCUGUGAAGGUUGAAUUUGGUGAGGUUGCUGCUAUUCUAGAUGUACCAAAUGCCCUAUCCGAUUGUCAAGCACUUCCUUUUAAAUAUAUACAACCACUAAGUCAUGUCACAACAACAUCAAGCAGAGUAUCUGCUUAUCUUAUUGAUGGACAUUCAACAGUGAGGUUCAAAAUGAUUGUUGAUUUCAUUACCAUCUUAUUAUACAUUCUUUUCACAUAAAAAGCAGAGAGUCCAUUGCAAUUAAGUCAUAUAUUUUGAAGAUUAAAGUGUAAUAUUGAGCUAUCACAUAUUUAAAAUAAAGCUUCACCUGCAUAAUGCCAUAUGGUCCUUUGUUUUUACAGAGUAUGCAAUCUUUUCAAUUGUCAGAGAUGAUGUUUUAGUUGGAUAAUGAACUAAAGAAUUUGUGUGUAAUAGAAGGACCUAUUUUGAUUCACAAAGUUGUGUCUGUAUUUUUCAUCUUACGAAUGUCGUGAUAGGUUUUUGUUUUUUGUCUUUAGCUCUUUUUUACUUUAUUGACACAUAAUUGAUAAAUUUUAAAUUUACUGUUUUACUUACAGAUCUUGAGCACAAUAUAAUUGUGUGAUUGGAGAACAAUACCCUAAAAUUGUACAUACAAUGGUUCCUUUAGAGGAUAUUCCAUUCCAAAAUCAGUCAAUUCACUUCUCUCUGAUAAUGAAUAUAAUGUGAUAUAAACAGUUACUAAAGAAGUAUGGUUUCUUAAACACUGCUUUUUGAUAUCAGAUGGGUGGUGUUCAUCUUCUUGGGCUAAGGUCACCCAAAAUCCCAUAUACAUUUUCUGUUAUUAUGUUUCAACUGGUUAUAACAUUCUACAAAUUUAUGAAUUUUGAUCUUUCUAUAAUUUUUAUGAGUUAUUAUUAUUAUUUUCUUAAUCUUUAUUUUUGCCACCAUUAUUUUCUUAAUCUCUUCACUUAGUUUGUCAAUAUUAUUUUGUGCUUCAUCUGAAGCUUUGCUCUCAUUUUUUUUUACAAACUGCUGCAUGGAACUUGCUCAGGGUGUACAUCAACAUGACUACAUCAGCUGGAAUUUGUUUCUAUUGUCAAUUCAAACUUUGUCUUUGCUCUAUCCUGAUCGAAAUGAAAAGGGAUAUUGAAAUCUUAUCAUUUCAUUGUUGUGGGAACACUAAUUCUUGGUUUGAUUGCAUAAAAUAAAGAGGGAAAUGAAUGAGAAUUCUUAAAGCAAAAUGAUAGAACGUGAACCUUUUCCCUCAUAACAGAAUUAAACAAAAAUAUGAGAAACUCGCUAGCCUUAAUUUAGUGUUGACUUAUUUAUUAGAUUGAUACGGGACCAUUGCUUGGUGCUGCGAAAAUGCUUGGGUUGUCAAGCAGGAGAACAUGAGUUUGACUCCUGAAAGCAACUGCCUUGUGCAAAUAUUGCCAAAGCUUUCUAGCCCCCCGAUUACCGAGGACAGCAAUGGUUAAUGGCUCUUCUUUUAGUAGAUUGAUUCACAUUUCUUUUGUAAAAUUGGUUUUAUGGGCAUUUGCCUUUAUAAAAUUAUAGCUGCAAAUUUAUUUGUUUGGUGUUUCAUAACAGUAUACUGAAUCAAGGUGAUGAAGAACUUUUGACAGAUGCUAUUUACCACAAUUCAGAGUCGUCCAUAUUUAAGGAACCAGAGACUUUUAGGAAGACGAUUAGUUCAUGUUCACAAGGAGAGGACUACAUUGGGAAGAUGAAGGAUUUCUAGGUCUAUCUUGACGUGGUAGAGGUUCAACUACCAAAUUCUCCUUUCUUUACGUCUCUUUUCUCACUUUCAGUUUUACUUUAUGUUCAUUAUAGGCCAUGGUACACAGUUGUGCCAUAUCUGAACUUCUGCAUGGCAGCCAAGAAGACAACAGAAAUUCUUGUUACCAGGUUGAUAUAAGGCCUAGUGGCUUAAUAGCACAUUAACCUUUGAUACCAUCUGUAUGGGAGAGAACCAAGCAACCAUCCCAUGGUCCACCUUGAGAACUUGUCUUGCUGGAAUUUGACCAAUAAGUUAUUCUCAAAUCAAGCCUAUGCCACUGGAUAAAUUACCCAUUUUCUCUUUCAACUAAGUAGAUCAUAAGCAUUAAAGGCUUAUUGGCUAAAUAAUUAAAUGCUAUACUUCAAUGAAGGUGCCAUGUCUGUGUCAGGCGUCUACCAUGGGCACUUCACAGACAGUCCCAGGCACAUGUCCAAUGCUUAAUGAACACGUCUAUAAUUUAAAAAUAAAUUUCGUUAUUUUGAACAUACACUUCUUUGAAAUAUCUCGGACAUUUGGCCGACGCGUACCAUGGGCACUUCAUAGACACUCCAGGACACAUGUCCAAUGCUUAAUGAACACGUCUAUAAUUUAAAAAUAAAUUUCGUUAUUUUGAACACACUUCUUUGAAAUAUCUCGGACAUUUGGCCGAUACGUACCUUACAUUCUCUGAUACAAUUCUUAUGUAUCACAAACAUAUCUAAGAAUAGUCAUGUCCUACAAUCUUAGAAACGAUGUGAACACACGUUCAAAGUGUCCAAUUUUUUCUUCUUCAAGACUUUAUCAUAUAGUUGCUACAUGUCAAGCAUGUUGUGACACUUUUCAUAUAGGUAAAAAAUAUAAUUAUACUACAAAGUAGGAAAGUUGAAGCAUAUAUAAUAUAAUAAUCUUUAUUAUAUUCUCACAGUUUCAUUUUUUAAAUUAUGUGACUCUUAGAUAAAGGUUAAUACUUUGUUGAGGAUUAAUCAUUGUCUUAUUCAAUAGAUUUCUAUAAAUAAAAAAUUAUAUUUAUAUAUGGCUGUGUUCACAUCGUGGCCUUGUCGUACUGUUGUAGGAUUCUACGAGUUGGUGUAUCCGUGUUAUAUUGUGCCUAUAUCCCAUGUUUAUCUUUGUGCUACAUAACUUGCAAGUCUGAGGAAAUACUUAUUAUUUAUAGGUCUUGGAGAUUCACAUGGAAACAAAAUGAUUCAUUUGGGCCUUCCGUGGGUUCUGAAUGUAUUACUAUGCCAUAUGAAAUAAUGACUUCAUGUUAAGUUCACAACCAAAAUAGUAAAACUAAGAGAUGUAAAAAGGCCAUUUCUUGAAAUUCUGAAAGAUCAUAUUGCAAGUCUCUCUCUCUGUUUUUUUUUUUUUUUCUGGAAGGUGAUUGUUAGUAUUUCCAAUUUCAUUUCCUAAAUUUCUUAGGUUACUGAGAUGUUUUCUUAAUAGUUAAUGGUCCGUUGGGUGAUAUGUUUAUGGACAACUCCCACCAUAUUGGCAUUCAUCAAACUGCUUGUUUCCAAGUUUAGCUAACGAUCAUGUGUAUCUGGUUUUUUUAUUAUCAAACUUGAUAAAUCACCGUAAAUGCAAUUUUGCAAUAAUCAAGAUGAACUAUCCAUUCAAUCUAUAGAGGUGUAGCCCGGUUGUAAAAUUUUUUUAUGGCCAAGAUCUUGGCUUAGAGCAAUAUAAAUAUUUUGUGAACUGUCCCUUUUUUCAGCUGUAGAGGUCAAGAAAUACUAGAGAUUUAGUAGAUUAAUCCUCCUAUGGAUUGACUGAGUUUGGCUUGCAUGCCCUUCCACAGGUGAGGAAGAUUGUGAAACCAGGUUGUUCACAAGAAAUGCUGGAGGUGGCCUUGAUUUCCAUGUCUUUACUUGUGACGACCUUGUGGGCGGGUAUGCCGUGGGCGGGUGCGAGAGACACUGUCAGGCUACCACACUGGCGAGCUACAGGUGCACAAUCCCACAUCGCCUGGGUAGAGGAAAGGUGAAGUGCUUAUAUGUAAGUGUGUCACUUCCAAUUGGUAUGAGGCCUUUUGGGGUGAAGUCCAAGAACAAAACCGUGCGGGCUCAGGCCCAAAGCGGACAAUAUCAUACCAUGUGGAAAGGUGAAAUGCUUAUAUGUAAGUGUGUCACCUCCAAUUGGUAUGAAGCCUUUUGGGGUGAAACCCAAGAACAAAACCGUGCGGGCUCAGGCCAAAAGCGGACAAUAUCAUACCAUGUGGUGGAGUGGGUCGUUACAAAUGGUAUCAGAGCCUGACCCAGCCGGAAGUCUGCUGACGGGGACGUCGGGCCUCCAAGGGGGGUGGAUUGUGACGACCUUGUGGGCGGGUGUGCCGUGGGUGGGUGCGAGAGACACUGUCAGGCUACCACACUGGCGAGUUACAGGUGCACAAUCCCACAUCGCCUGGGUAGAGGAAAGGUGAAGUGCUUAUAUGUAAGUGUGUCACCUCCAAUCGGUAUGAGGCCUUUUGGGGUGAAACUCAAGAACAAAACCGUGCGGGCUCAGGCCCAAAGCGGACAAUAUCAUACCAUGUGGUGGAGUGGGUCGUUACAUUACUUGUCAGAAAGCUCUCAGUCAUGUCCUCCAAACCAAAACCUCAUUCCUCACUUUAAAUCAAUUUCUCAAUUGGUUGUACUAUUGCAGGGAGGAAUGUACCUGUAAUGAUUUAUUCAAGUGUGAAAUUUAUGGUUUUCAUUCUUUUUCUUUUCUUCCCUAAAAAGGGGAAAACAAGGUUGUGGUACUGGAUAGACCAGUCAGUUGUUAUAUAGAGUAAGUUGAAGUACCUUAAGAUUGUUAAUUAGAUGUCAUCCAUCACUGUUCCACCCUUGUUUUAUCAGAUUAACCACAAAUUCUAAUUCAGGUGUAAAUUAAAUUUGGCUGGUAUUCUUGUGUUGCCCUAUUGUGACUGCACAUUUUUAUUUGUUUGGUGUUUGACAAACAUUAUAUGAUGAAUCUAGAUGAUGUGAAAAUAUUGAUGGAUAUUCUGAACAGUCCAGGACUAUCCAGUUUAGGGAAACAGGCUUAUAUGAAAAGGUUGGUGGUUACCAGACUAGGAUUACACCGGGAAGACAAUGUCAUCUUGACAAGGACUUGAACCCUCGACCUUUCGAGGAACCACCAAGGUCUGUGGUCUAGUCAUGUCUCUCCAAGAGCAUUGUGGGAGUUCUUUGCCAGGAAAAAAAAAAAAAAAAAAAAAAAAAAAAGACAGAAAGAAAAAAUACCACUAGGCUACAGCCCUUGGUAUAAUGAGCACUGAUUAUUUGUGUUUUUAUUGAGAGGAAAUGAGCUACACCUCAGCCACCAUGUCAAUAAGUGAUUCUGCCAGGAGUUCCCAGGGAUGGCGACAAUCUGUGCUUGUAGGAUCUGUAAUGCUCUUUCCCAUGAAUGUUAGAACCAUACGCCCUCCGGGUCUUGCUUCCCCUGUGCGUAAGCUUAGAAAUGUUGAGAAAUCGCUUUGAAAUUGCUUCAGGUAUGCUUCAAACACAUGGGAAGGACUUGUCUUUGCAAUGUAUAUGUUGCCCUUGUUAUUAUCCAGUCUUUCAGGAACCUGUCUUUUAGUUACAUGGUAAGGCAAUAAUUAUGUAUACAGAACAUAAUUGACAUCAAUGCAUGCUUAUGGGCAGGAUUUUCCUUUGUAUUGUGCUCUGAAUGAAGAUGCUAACCUUGGAGAGCCAAUGGACGCUGCAAGAAGAAUGAACAUAGCUCCUGCUAGGGAAAAGCCUGCCAUAGAAAGAACCUGGUGAUCCUGAUACAAAACAGGGACUGAAAUUCUCUUCUUUCUCUUUCUUGAGCUUCUCAAGGAAUAUUGGUAGUGAUUUGAAAAUGGUGUUGAAGUCAAUGUGUGGAAGAUCAUUUAGAUACACUUGAAAUUCAGGUGCUUUGCAUUUAUUUUGCUGGCACAGACCAUGAAUUAUGUCGAUGGUUUCAGAGAUGACCAAGAUGGUAUUUGGACCUGAAGAGCAACCCAAGUCUGCUAUUUUAAAGCACCUGGGAAAGUUUUCAUUAUACAUGUCAUAGAGGGUGUCUUCUAGUGCUGGCCGCGCCUUUAGUAACACUGUUUUCUGAAAAAAAUAAUGGACAUGUACUCUGAUAGUUAGGGGGACAGAGAGAGACCUGAAGGGUUGAAUUAUUGGCAUAGUUACUUUCUGAUCAUUAUAUAUAUAGACACGCAUAUACAAGUUCCCUACUCAGCCAUAGUUUACAUGGACAAUGAAUUUGGAAUCUUCCUCAAGGAAUUGUGAUUUGUCCUCGCCGAACUCUAAAUGCCAGAGGAGCCCACCAACCAUCUUUCUUGUUCGGUAUUUGAGUUUGGUUAGUCUAUCACUGCUCAUAUUAAGCAAUGCACUAUGUAUUUGGCUAGGUUUUUGAAAAUCUCUGACAAGGAAUCCCUAGUUUAGGGAAACAGGUUUAUAUGAAAGAGCCAUUGGUGAUUACUGGACCAGGAUUACAUUGGGAAGAUAUUAAUGUGACAGGUUCAUCUCGACAAGAUGCUCAGUCACAUGCUGUGCAAAUCUGGAAAACAGUUUGUCAAUGACAGUGUCUCCAAAAUGAUUAGCCAACAUGGGCUCCGUAACAGCUCUUACACAACUUGCCACAUUUUUCCCACUCUUAUGUUUGUCGAAAACAAAAUGUUUGUCAUCAACUUUGUGGUUGGCAUCCCAAUCGACUUCAAAAGCUUCUAGCUUGUCAAGAAGGAAAUGAGCUACACCUCGACCACCAUGGUGAGAAGUGAUUCUCCCAAGAGUUUCCCGAGAGUGGGACUGUCUUUGCUUAUAGGAUCUGCAAUGCUCCUACCGAUGAGUGUCAAAACCAUGCGCCCUCCAAGUAUUAUUUCCUCCGAGCAUAAGCUUAGAAAUGUUGAGAAAUCGCUUUGAAAUUGCUUCAGGAUUUUCCUUCGAAUUGUGCUCUGAAUGAAGAUGCUAACCUUGGAGAGCCAAUGAACACCGUAAGAAGAAUGAACAAAGUGUAAGCUUCUGCUCGGGAAAAGCCUACCAUAGAAAGAACCCGGUGAUCCUGAUACAAAGCAAGGACUCAACUCUUCUCGUCUCUGUUUGUUGAGCUUCUUGUAGAAUGUCGGUAGUGCUUUGAAAAUUGUGUUGAAGUCAUUGUUUGGAAGAUCAUUUAGAAACACUGGAAUUCAGGUGCUCUGCAAUUAUUUUGCUGGCACAAACCUUUAAUUGUGUCGAUGAUUUCGGAGAUGACCAGAAGGGUAUUUGGACCUGGAGCACAACCCAAGUCUGCUAUUCCAAAGCACAUUGGGAAGUUCUCAUUAUACAUGUCAUUGAGGGUGUCUUCUAGUACUUGCCGCGACUUUAGUAUCACUGUUUUCUGAAAAAUAAACAUGUGCUCUGAUUUUUCAGUGAAUUUUUGCA